CGCCCUCUACUGGACUCUAUGGGUAUAACCCUCCUCCAAUCCCGUGCACGCGAAGGCCCACUUAAAAUUAGCAUGUACGUAGCCGAUGCUAUGGGGCAUACGUAGCCCAUGGGCGUGCCUACCUGACCUGCCCUCUCCAGCGGGUAUAUAAGCAGAUGCAUUGCCAUCUGCUUUUGCCUUCUACUUUCAGCGUCGGUGAGUGCCCACUGUCACAACAUCUCCUAGGAUGGAGUCGCUCCGACAGACCUGCUGUCACGAAUCCCCAGCCAGGAUGACUGUUUGUCUUGUUUGUGUGUGGUUGUUUGUUGUCUGUCUUCUCCUGGGAGUGCUUGAGGGGGCGUGCCUGCAACUGAAUACUCUCAUCUGGCUGACAUCACCUCAUUACCUCAUCACCUCACCUGCUCUUCUUCAACUGCUGGCAGUAUUUAAAGAGCAGCCACACAGCCAGUCUCCGCCGGAUCGUUGCCAAGUAUUGUGGAUCAGCCUACGUCUCGUGUAGCCGCCGUGUGGAUCUCCACCCUUCAAGCCUGCCAGGCGACCCCUCUCUGAUUGCCCCCACCUCGGGACUCCCACACUCGCCUACCUACUCCCUUUUCAUCUCACACAUUCCCUCUCCGAUUCAAUAAACCAUUGCACUCUAA
Long non-coding RNA from Larimichthys crocea (large yellow croaker), 641 nucleotides. RefSeq lists it as uncharacterized. The record is from RefSeq and is a predicted model, not a curated record. NCBI's taxonomy places the organism in Eukaryota, Metazoa, Chordata, Actinopteri, Sciaenidae. The transcript has 2 exons.